CCCCACGAAUUACCAUCACCAUCUCCUUCUAAUCGCCAUAUUUUUAACAAAUUAAGUCAUUCAUCAUACUGACAACCAAAAAGUGACUUCCCACGUCGCCAACCAUCAAGCUAUCGAUACCACCACUGUCGACCGGCAAAUUGAGCUUUGAAAUGGUGCCAUUCUCGACAUUAAAAGUCCCAAAGCCUUAGAGCGUUAAAGAUUUACCUCUCCAAAGGACAGUAUUUCCCAUAACCCUUCCGAACGGAUGGAGUACCAUGAACUUAAAAGCAGACACACACGAAAUGCUCAAGAAGGAACACCUGAAAAGUUAGGAUCUUUGAAAUCGGAGGUAUCAGUUUCAGAAGGGGCUACUAUGACAAUCUGAAACCGACAGGGACUGAGGUUCAAAAAUAAAUUCUACGCGCUUAGGAGGGUUGGGUAACACUCUUGCCCCUAUUCCUGCUUGCAGAGAAGAUUUUUUGAGGAUGAAGUUGACAUCCUUUGAUAAAUUGAUUGAAAGGACAUGUAGUUCAAAUAAAGGAUGUUAGACUUUGUAGUGAACCAGAUCAAAGACCAGGCGGUGGUACUGCAAAUUCUAGUGUGGCGCCUGAUGCAGCUGAAAUACAGUUGAAAAGCCCACGUGUAAAGUCUAACAACGACACUUGUCCAAAAUUGAAGUAUAGUUUGAGCUCUUGGCAAGGAAAUUUGAAGUUGAAGCUCGGCAGUUGUGAUUAGUGACUCGUAGCAGAGUUUAUUUUUUUUCCUCCGACGAUUGCAAAUUUUUCAAAGAGCAAUUAGAUAAUCCAUGAUCUUUUUUUACUAUAUACUUACCAUACUAAUAUUGUUCCUUUCACCGUGUAAUUUGAUCCUUUGUCUAUUUUUUAAGUCUGUCCUAAAAUAAUAUAU
Long non-coding RNA from Pyrus x bretschneideri (Chinese white pear), 888 nucleotides. RefSeq lists it as uncharacterized. The transcript is spliced from 3 exons. NCBI's taxonomy places the organism in Eukaryota, Viridiplantae, Streptophyta, Magnoliopsida, Rosales, Rosaceae. The record is from RefSeq and is a predicted model, not a curated record.